Molecule: ribosomal RNA, 137 nt
Filed under: uncultured eukaryote
Lineage: Eukaryota
Description: partial 18S ribosomal RNA
Rfam family: Eukaryotic small subunit ribosomal RNA
Source: RNAcentral
UGGUGGAGUGAUUUGUCUGGUUAAUUCCGUUAACGAACGAGACCUUAACCUACUAAAUAGUUACGUGAUUUUCGAAUCACGGUCAACUUCUUAGAGGGACUAUCGGUUUUAACCGAUGGAAGUUUGAGGCAAUAACA